AUUGAACGCUGGCGGCAGGCCUAACACAUGCAAGUCGAACGAGUGGCGGACGGGUGAGUAAUGUCUGGGAAACUGCCUGAUGGCGGGGGAUAACUACUGGAAACGGUAGCUAAUACCGCAUACCAUCAGAUGUUCCCAGAUGGGAGUAGCUGGUUGGUGGGGUAACGGCUCACCAGGGCGACGAUCCCUAGCUGGUCUGAGAGGAUGACCAGCACAACUGGAACUGAAACACGGUCCAGCUCCCUCCGGGAGGAAGCAGUGGGAAUUAUUGCACAAUGGGCGCACGCCGAAUGCAGCAAUGCCGCGUGUAUGAAGAAGGCCUUCGGGUUGUAAAGUACUUUCAGCGGGGAGGCGUUACCCGAAGAAGAAGCACCGGCUAACUCCGUGCCAGCAGCCGCGGUAAUAC
This 406-nucleotide ribosomal RNA is filed under the name uncultured bacterium. RNAcentral's name for it is "partial 16S ribosomal RNA". It matches the Rfam family "Bacterial small subunit ribosomal RNA", at positions 30 to 526 of the family's 1533-position model. The record is from RNAcentral.